RNAcentral lists this ribosomal RNA (721 nucleotides) under Arthrobacter sp. JNK01. RNAcentral's name for it is "bacterial SSU rRNA". It matches the Rfam family "Bacterial small subunit ribosomal RNA", at positions 55 to 792 of the family's 1533-position model. Lineage: Bacteria; Bacillati; Actinomycetota; Actinomycetes; Micrococcales; Micrococcaceae. The record is from RNAcentral.
AUGCAGUCGGACGAUGAAGCCCAUUCGGGGUGGAUUAGUGGCGAACGGGUGAGUUAUAAGAGAGCAACCUGCCCUUGACUCUGGGAUAAGCCUGGGAAACUGGGUCUAAUACCGGAUAGGACCCCUUGCCGCAUGGUGGGGGGUGGAAAGCCUUGUGCGGUCUUGGAUGGGCUCGCGGCCUAUCAGCUUGUUGGUGGGGUGAUGGCCUACCAAGGCGACGACGGGUAGCCGGCCUGAGAGGGUGACCGGCCACACUGGGACUGAGACACGGCCCAGACUCCUACGGGAGGCAGCAGUGGGGAAUAUUGCACAAUGGGCGGAAGCCUGAUGCAGCGACGCCGCGUGGGGGAUGACGGCCUUCGGGUUGUAAACCCCUUUCGGCAGGGAACAAGCCCCUUGGGGUGAGGGUACCUGCGGAAGAAGCGCCGGCUAACUACGUGCCAGCAGCCGCGGUAAUACGUAGGGCGCGAGCGUUAUCCGGAAUUAUUGGGCGUAAAGAGCUCGUAGGCGGUUUGUCGCGUCUGCUGUGAAAGCCCGGGGCUCAACCCCGGGUCUGCAGUGGGUACGGGCAGGCUGGAGUGCAGUAGGGGAGACUGGAAUUCCUGGUGUAGCGGUGAAAUGCGCAGAUAUCAGGAGGACACCGAUGGCGAAGGCAGGUCUCUGGCUGUACUGACGCUGAGGAGCGAAAGCAUGGGGAGCGAACAGGAUAGAUACUCUGGUA